This 397-nucleotide unclassified non-coding RNA is filed under the name soil metagenome. RNAcentral's name for it is "partial contains 5.8S ribosomal RNA, internal transcribed spacer 2, and large subunit ribosomal RNA". The stretch from base 1 to 123 matches the Rfam family "5.8S ribosomal RNA", at positions 35 to 154 of the family's 154-position model. The record is from RNAcentral.
GAUGAAGAACGGUAGCGAAAUGCGAUACUUGGUGUGAAUUGCAGAAUCCCGUGAACCAUCGAGUCUUUGAACGCAAGUUGCGCCCGAAGCCAUUAGGCCGAGGGCACGCCUGCCUGGGUGUCACACACCGUUACCCUCGCGCCAACGUCCAUCGUUGGCCGCGGCGCGGGGCGUGCGCUGACCUCCCGCGAGCGGGGUCUCGUGGUUGGUUGAAAAUCGAGUUCGCGGUCGAGGGUGCCGUGAUGAAAUGGUGGAUGGGCGACGCCCGAGGCCAAUCACGCGCGACUCUGUCCGGCUCGAACUCCUGGACCCCUUCGGCGUCUCCGGACGCUCUUUGGCGAGACCUCAGGUCAGGCGGGGCUACCCGCUGAGUUUAAGCAUAUCAAUAAGCGGAGGA